Long non-coding RNA from Brassica napus (rape), 1632 nucleotides. RefSeq lists it as uncharacterized. The record is from RefSeq and is a predicted model, not a curated record. NCBI's taxonomy places the organism in Eukaryota, Viridiplantae, Streptophyta, Magnoliopsida, Brassicales, Brassicaceae. The transcript has 4 exons.
AUAUUAUAAUAAAAAAAUUUCAUUGAUUAAUAUUAUUUUAAAGAAUUUACCAUAUAAUUUUAUUAUAAUCAAAGCUACAAGAAUUAUAUUCGUAUUAGUAUAAUGUUCCAAUAUUUCAGUUUUAUAUUAUAAUAAAUAUUUUCAUUUAUUAAUAUUAUUUUAAAAUAAUUACCAUAUAUUUUUCUGUUUUUAAAUGUACAAAUACUUUAAUCAUUUUCAAAAAUAAUAACUCAACUAUACAAUCAACAUUUGUCACUGAAAAAUGACUUAACGUUUUUAAAAUUGUAUAUUUGACUGUUCUGCAUUUUGUGGACACAUUUUAGAAAAAAAUAUAUAUAGUGAGUAUAAAAAAAUAUUAUUAGGUUUAGGUUAAUUAGUUUUUUGUAUUCUAUAAUUUAUUGUAUCCACUAUUAAUAUAAAUAUGUUAAAAUCUUUUAUAUAAUUAUUUCUAUCAUACCAUAUAUAUUUAUAUGUAUAUUGUAAAUUUCUUUAAUGUAAUCUAUGAUAUUUAAUUGUUUCUAUAAACGAAUUAUAUUAAUUCUUCUAACUUUAAAAUGUUUAAUUGUUUGUAUGGUAAUAUAUAUUAGAUUAGAUAGUUCUAGGAUUAGUUUCCUUUUUAAAAAUUUAAUUAAAUAAAUGAAAAUAAAAAUACCAACCACCAUUCAAAUUAAAAGAAUUAAUUCUAAACUUCACUAUGAAUGAUACCUAAUCAAAAGUCACUUAACUGAGUUCUCAGUUAAUAUCAUUCAAAAGUCACUUAAGUGAUCUCAGUUAAUAUAUAUAAUAGGAUGAUACAAGUGAUUGUCUACUUUUUAGGAAUCUUUUGGUAAGAUAAUUAAUGUUCGUUAGAGUGUACCACUGCAUUAGCGAUUUAGGGUUACGAUGAUUCUACGGUAUUGGGAUCCUGGGAUUAGAGAGGAGGCGAGGUUAACGGGUCGAUUGGAAUCGGAGGUUCGAAUUGGAGAUGGGAUUUUCCAAGAUUGGAAGGUUGAAGAUGGAUCUUCGAGAUUUUCUUUGGAUUUGGGAUGGGGUGGUCUGAUCGAGGGUACGACGAAAACGGAGAUUUGGAUUCGGCGACAACUAAGGAUUAUGAGGAUUUGGAUUUUAAUUUUUAUUUCGAUCCUGAUCAAGACGAAAUCGAAUCAAGAUGAAGAUAUGCAGAGAAAGGAUUUCUAUGAGGGUUUUGAGGAGGAGAUUAAUCAAGUUAUUGUGAAGAAUGGUUUAUUCAAUUCCGGUUAACGUGUUGCAAUUGGUGGCUCUGGUGGCAAAGGCCAAGGGAGAUUCUAGACACCAUAAAAUCUGGUGAAGACUUCAGAAUAGCAACAACUACAAAGAUGCCUGAGCAAGAAAUGGUGUAAAGCUUGUGUUUUGUUGGAUGGACUCAACCGUGGUUUGCCUAAGAUGGGUAUCGGAAGAGCGAGAGGAGGCGUAAAUGGUGAUCAUAGGAAGGAAACAGAGAAGCCUGCAUAUGCUGCAAAAUCUAUAGAGAGCUAUGAAACUCAUAUAAGUCAAGAUGAUUGACUAUAUAAAAAGUUUGAAAUACCCUUUGUUGUACAAGUUAUGUAUGUCUUCAGGAAAAUUUGGGUUUUUGUUUUGUUUUUUUCCAAUGUUCAAGAAAUUAUUAGACGUUAA